Molecule: unclassified non-coding RNA, 388 nt
Filed under: uncultured Tepidisphaerales bacterium
Lineage: Bacteria; Pseudomonadati; Planctomycetota; Phycisphaerae; Tepidisphaerales
Description: contains 16S-23S intergenic spacer region
Source: RNAcentral
UCCGGCUUAACGCCGGCAGUCCCCUUAGAGUCCCCGGCAUAACCCGAUGGUAACUAAGGGCAAAGGUUUCGCUCGUUAAGGGACUUAACCCGACAUCUCACGACACGAGCUGACGACAGCCAUGCAGCACCUGUGCCAGUUGUACCCCUUGCGGGGCCUACCCCACUUUCAUGGGGAUAAUCCAGGCAUGUCAAACCCAGGUAAGGUUCUGCGCGUUGCUUCGAAUUGAACCACAUGCUCCACCGCUUGUGUGAGCCCCCGUCAAUUCCUUUGAGUUUUAGCCUUGCGACCGUACUUCCCAGGCGGUCCACUUAGCACUUUUGCUUCGGCCGCGGCGGCGGUCAAACGCCUCCACGACCUAGUGGACAUCGUUUAGGGCCAGGACUAC